AUGGCAGACGGGUGAGUAACGCGUGGGGAAUCUACCUUUUUGUGGGGAAUAACGCUCCGAAAGGAGUGGUAAUACCGCAUGAGACCGCGAGCUGGGACGCUCGCGGUGAAACCUGGGGACCGCAAGGCCUGGGGCAAAGAGAGGAUCCUGCGUCUGAUUAGCUAGUUGGCGGGGUAAUGGCCCACCAAGGCGACGAUCAGUAGCCGGCCUGAGGGGGUGAUCGGCCACACUGGAACUGAGACACGGUCCAGACUCCUACGGGAGGCAGCAGUGGGGAAUUUUGCGCAAUGGGCGAAAGCCUGACGCAGCAACGCCGCGUGGGUGAUGAAGGUCUUCGGACUGUAAAACCCUGUCGUCAGGGACGAAGGUUGGGGGGUUAAUAGCCCUUUAGCUUGACGGUACCUGGAGAGGAAGCCCCGGCUAACUCUGUGCCAGCAGCCGCGGUAAUACAGAGGGGGCAAGCGUUAUUCGGAAUUAUUGGGCGUAAAGGGCGCGUAGGCGGUUUUUUAAGUCAGAUGUGUAAUCCCCGAGCUUAACUUGGGAACUGCAUCUGAGACUGGAAGGCUAGAGUACUGGAGAGGGUGGUGGAAUUCCUCGUGUAGCGGUGAAAUGCGUAGAGAUGAGGAGGAACACCAGUGGCGAAGGCGGCCACCUGGACAGUAACUGACGCUGAGGCGCGAAAGUGUGGGUAGCAAACAGGAUUAGAUACCCUGGUAGUCCACGCUGUAAACGAUGAACACUUGGUGUGGAGGGAGUUGACCCCUUCCGUGCCGGAGCUAACGCGUUAAGU
RNAcentral lists this ribosomal RNA (790 nucleotides) under uncultured Acidobacteriota bacterium. Its description in RNAcentral is "bacterial SSU rRNA". It matches the Rfam family "Bacterial small subunit ribosomal RNA", at positions 95 to 865 of the family's 1533-position model. The record is from RNAcentral. Lineage: Bacteria; Pseudomonadati; Acidobacteriota.